Molecule: non-coding RNA, 21 nt
Filed under: Caenorhabditis elegans
Lineage: Eukaryota; Metazoa; Nematoda; Chromadorea; Rhabditida; Rhabditidae
Source: RNAcentral
UAAUAACUUCUACUUUUCAUU